Molecule: ribosomal RNA, 441 nt
Filed under: uncultured bacterium
Lineage: Bacteria
Description: partial 16S ribosomal RNA
Rfam family: Bacterial small subunit ribosomal RNA
Source: RNAcentral
CCUACGGGGGGCAGCAGUGGGGAAUAUUGCACAAUGGGGGAAACCCUGAUGCAGCGACGCCGCGUGAGUGAAGAAGUAUUUCGGUAUGUAAAGCUCUAUCAGCAGGGAAGAAGAAAGACGGUACUUGACUAAGAAGCCCCGGCUAACUACGUGCAAGCAGCGGCGGUAAUACGUAGGGGGCAAGCGUUAUCCGGAUUUACGGGGUGUAAAGGGAGCGUAGACGGCUGUGCAAGUCUGAAGGGAAAGCCCAGGGCCCAACCCUGGGACUGCUUUGGAAACUGUGGGGCUAGAGUGCGGGAGGGGUAAGUGGAAUUCCUAGUGUAGCGGUGAAAUGCGUAGAUAUUAGGAGGAACACCAGUGGCGAAGGCGGCUUACUGGACAGUAACUGACGUUGAGGCUCGAAGGCGUGGGGAGCAAACAUGAUUAGAUACCCUGGUAGUC